AGCAGUCGCCACGGGAAUACGAAGGGUGCAAGCGUUAAUCGGAAUUAUUGGGCGUAAAGAGCUCGUAGGCGGUUUGUCGCGUCUGCCGUGAAAGUCCGGGGCUCAACCCCGGAUCUGCGGUGGGUACGGGCAGACUAGAGUGAUGUAGGGGAGACUGGAAUUCCUGGUGUAGCGGUGAAAUGCGCAGAUAUCAGGAGGAACACCGAUGGCGAAGGCAGGUCUCUGGGCAUUAACUGACGCUGAGGAGCGAAAGCAUGGGGAGCGAACAGGAUUAGAUACCCCGGUAGUCCCUGUCUCUUAUAU
Molecule: ribosomal RNA, 303 nt
Filed under: uncultured bacterium
Lineage: Bacteria
Description: partial 16S ribosomal RNA
Rfam family: Bacterial small subunit ribosomal RNA
Source: RNAcentral